AUGGAGAAAACUCCAUCAGUGUGGGUAUGGCACCCUCAGGAUCUAAGCUGUCUAAACUUGCAGGCUGGUUUCACUAGCUUAGGGCAUCCCAGAGCUAAUGUUUAUAAGCCAAGGGCCAAAUUAAAGCAAGAAAGAAUCAUAUCAAUGUCGAGGCUGAGAAAGUUCACGGGGGCAGGAAGGAGGCCCUGGAGAAGGAGGCAAGGAAAGCAAGAGGAAAGGGAUCCAUCUUCUUCUCCCUCCCACUACCAACCCCAACCUGGAGUCCCAGAAACACUAUGCAGAGCCCACCUAGUACCCCUCAAUGUAUGUUCAUCUUCUUUGAUAAUAGAACCUCAAACGUCAGCUGGCUACACGGCUUCAAACAACAAAAGACUACAUUUCCCAGCUUUCCCUGCAGCAAGGAAUAUUAAGAAGCAGGAAGACACCCAAAACUCUACAGGACUUUGCAUGAGAAUGAUAUCUGUAGUCCAUGGCAGUUUUAAAACAGGUUUGCAGAUUUGCUGACACUCCUUCCACUGAAAGGCAGGUCCCACGUUCCUCCCCCUGGAUCUGGGCUGAGCUUCGGUGACUCAUCAGCCAGUGGACACAGAAUAUUCUCACCCUGUCCCUAGGAACCCCCCCUCAAAGGCUCACCACGGAUGUCCUCAGGCUCAAGGCCCCGGGGUCUCACCAUCUAAAGCAGGUCCAGGUGCAGAGGAGCUCCUCAGGUACAGCUCAACAAGCACAGGUGCCCAGUGGGAGAGAAGGGAGAAUGAGCAUAGAAAACCCUGUCAAGGGGGAUCCCUGGGUGGCUUAGCGGUUUAGUGCCUGCCUUGGGCCCAGGGCAUGAUCCUGGAGUCCCAGGAUCGAGUCCCACAUCGGGCUC
Molecule: long non-coding RNA, 865 nt
Filed under: Vulpes vulpes (red fox)
Lineage: Eukaryota; Metazoa; Chordata; Mammalia; Carnivora; Canidae
Description: lncRNA (ENSVVUG00000014600.1)
Source: RNAcentral